AUUCAGUGCCCGGUCUACCACCGGGAUUUCAUAACCCUUUGUUGUCCGACUCUGUUGCCUCCGGGGCGACCCUGCCUUCGGGCGGGGGCUCCGGGUGGACACUUCAAACUCUUGCGUAACUUUGCAGUCUGAGUAAACUUAAUUAAUAAAUUAAAACUUUUAACAACGGAUCUCUUGGUUCUGGCAUCGAUGAAGAACGCAGCGAAAUGCGAUAAGUAAUGUGAAUUGCAGAAUUCAGUGAAUCAUCGAAUCUUUGAACGCACAUUGCGCCCCCUGGUAUUCCGGGGGGCAUGCCUGUUCGAGCGUCAUUUCACCACUCAAGCCUCGCUUGGUAUUGGGCAACGCGGUCCGCCGCGUGCCUCAAAUCGACCGGCUGGGUCUUCUGUCCCCUAAGCGUUGUGGAAACUAUUCGCUAAAGGGUGUUCGGGAGGCUACGCCGUAAAACAACCCCAUUUCUAAGGUUGACCUCGGAUCAGGUAGGGAUACCCGCUGAACUUAAGCAU
Molecule: ribosomal RNA, 503 nt
Filed under: Cladosporium sp. Fun1D3
Lineage: Eukaryota; Fungi; Ascomycota; Dothideomycetes; Cladosporiales; Cladosporiaceae
Description: eukaryotic LSU rRNA
Rfam family: 5.8S ribosomal RNA (bases 155-308)
Source: RNAcentral